This 252-nucleotide ribosomal RNA is filed under the name uncultured bacterium. RNAcentral describes it as "partial 16S ribosomal RNA". It matches the Rfam family "Bacterial small subunit ribosomal RNA", at positions 524 to 776 of the family's 1533-position model. The record is from RNAcentral.
UACGGAGGAUUCGAGCGUUGUCCGAAUUUAUUGGGCGUAAAGCGAGCGCAGGUGGUUUAUUAAGUCUGGUGUAAAAGGCAGUGGCUCAACCAUUGUAUGCAUUGGAAACUGGUAGACUUGAGUGCAGGAGAGGAGAGUGGAAUUCCAUGUGUAGCGGUGGAAUGCGUAGAUAUAUGGAGGAACACCGGUGGCGAAAGCGGCUCUCUGGCCUGUAACUGACACUGAGGCUCGAAAGCGUGGGGAGCAAACAGG